Canis lupus familiaris (dog) is the source of this 349-nucleotide long non-coding RNA. RefSeq lists it as uncharacterized. Lineage: Eukaryota; Metazoa; Chordata; Mammalia; Carnivora; Canidae. The transcript has 3 exons. The record is from RefSeq and is a predicted model, not a curated record.
UUCUGUCGUUAAACAUCGUAUAACAAUAAACAGACGGUCACAAUAAAGUAGAGUGUGCUAACUGCUAGAAGAAGGAAUUUCAGACCAUCUUUGGAGCAUAUAACUACGGCAAAAAUAGAGAGAAGGCUUUCCAGAGGAUAUGGCAUCUAACGUUAAGUUUGAACCAUGUGCAGUAAAGAUAACAUGGAUCAGACCAAUGGAAUAUCUUGCCCAAUGUCAUGCAGCAAGUAAUGAUGAAGCCUGGUUUCAACCCCAGGACUUAGCAGAGCCUUUAUGUGAAAAUGUGUAUUGUGACUCCUCUAAAGAGAGAUAUAUACCAUGCAGCUUUCUCCAUGGAACAUACUCUGGG